AUUGAACGCUGGCGGCAUGCCUUACACAUGCAAGUCGAACGGCAGCGGACCUUCGGUGCCGGCGAGUGGCGAACGGGUGAGUAAUAUAUCGGAACGUACCUUUCAGUGGGGGAUAACGUAGCGAAAGUUACGCUAAUACCGCAUAUUCUGUGAGCAGGAAAGCAGGGGAUCGCAAGACCUUGCGCUGAUUGAGCGGCCGAUAUCAGAUUAGCUAGUUGGUGAGGUAAAGGCUCACCAAGGCGACGAUCUGUAGCGGGUCUGAGAGGAUGAUCCGCCACACUGGAACUGAGACACGGUCCAGACUCCUACGGGAGGCAGCAGUGGGGAAUUUUGGACAAUGGCGGCAAGACCUCGAUCCACGCCACUGCCGCCGUGAGU
Molecule: ribosomal RNA, 378 nt
Filed under: uncultured bacterium
Lineage: Bacteria
Description: bacterial SSU rRNA
Rfam family: Bacterial small subunit ribosomal RNA
Source: RNAcentral